AUCAACCUUAUCACUUUGCACGACCAUUACUCUGAAAAACAGAGAGAAAAGAAAACCAAAUGCCAUUUCUUGGCUGGUUUGAAGAAAUUCUAAGGAGAUCCAAGUGAAAUCAAAGCCAAAGAAGUGGAUUAAGCUUAAUUCUAGCCUUUUUAUGAUAUUUCUUGGUGGUUUCCAAGUGGUUUGAGGUUUAGAAAGGCUAGAAGAGAUUGUUUUCACCGAAAAGUUGCUCGGAUAAGCACAUCAACACCUAAGACACCACUUGUUACACGGUGGAUUAUAUUUUGGACAGAAGGUAGAGAAAGAAAUGAGUGAAUGACAUAAGGAGAACUGAAGCAUGGUCCUGACCCUGAUUUGUACAUAUGAACAUAUCGACCUUUUUGUGGGUUAUUUCAGUUAUCAGUGUGAUGUUUGUAAUAAAGUGUGAAGUUAUGUUUUGAAAACAAAUUGGGUUAUUUAAUACUUAUGUAUAAUAUGUUUGAGACACACUUUAUGUUUAAUGUAAAUAAUGUGAAAUAAGUUUUCAAGUUUUAAAAAAAAAAUGUCCAGACUUCCGCAGUAAUAAAUUAGGAUAUAGUUUUAAAACGUAACACCUCAAAUAUGGUUUUAUCUGAAAAUAAGUGAGGGUGUUACAUAUUGACAUAAAGUUCCUAGUUGUGAAAGAGAGAGUACAGAGUGGACAGAUAUCCAUAGAGCACAUUGGGACAAACUCCAUGAUAGCGGAUCCGCUCACAAAGGGAUUGCCACCCAAGGUCUUUCACGAGCAUACUGCUCAUAUGGGUGUUGUAUUGUUUGAGGAUAUCAUGAUUUAGUGGGAGUUUGUAUUUUAUUUGCUUUAUAUUUGCUUCAGACAUUUAUGUAUUUAGUUAUUUUCUUAUCAGAAUGAAGUAUUCAGUUUAUUCA
Humulus lupulus (European hop) is the source of this 900-nucleotide long non-coding RNA. RefSeq lists it as uncharacterized. The record is from RefSeq and is a predicted model, not a curated record. NCBI's taxonomy places the organism in Eukaryota, Viridiplantae, Streptophyta, Magnoliopsida, Rosales, Cannabaceae. The transcript is spliced from 4 exons.